This 344-nucleotide long non-coding RNA is filed under the name Linum usitatissimum (flax). RNAcentral describes it as "long non-coding RNA (LUSI_LNC006699)". The record is from RNAcentral. Lineage: Eukaryota; Viridiplantae; Streptophyta; Magnoliopsida; Malpighiales; Linaceae.
UUGAUUUCGAAUAAGGCAAAUCGAUUACUUUUGCCAAACCAAAAUCUCCAACAUGAGCUUCGAACUUUUCGUCAAGUAGGAUGUUGUUGGACUUAAUGUCGCGGUGGACGAUCCUUGGUCUGCAAUCGUGGUGUAAAUAGGCAAGACCUUCCGCAGCACCAAGAGCAACGGUGAAGCGUGUCGGCCAAUCCAAUCUACAUGAGGGUCCAUGAUGGCCAAUCCAAGCUACAUGAGGGUCCAUGAAGCAACUCCCCAAGACUACCUCUAGCCAUAUACUCGUACAAUAGCAGGUUGGAACCCUGAUGGUAGCAAAACCCAUAAAGCUUUACAAUGUUCCUGUGUCU